Schistosoma mattheei is the source of this 45-nucleotide non-coding RNA. NCBI's taxonomy places the organism in Eukaryota, Metazoa, Platyhelminthes, Trematoda, Strigeidida, Schistosomatidae. The record is from Rfam.
AUCCAGCUGAUGAGUCGCAAAUAGGACGAAUCACGUGUCCUGGUU